AACCUUCAUAAGGACACCGGCGACCACGACAACAAUAGAAUAACAAUAGAUUUCCAAGAAUCCGCGAUCGAAGGAUUAAACUUUAUUCAGUUAC
This is a long non-coding RNA of Aricia agestis (brown argus), 94 nucleotides long. RefSeq lists it as uncharacterized. The record is from RefSeq and is a predicted model, not a curated record. NCBI's taxonomy places the organism in Eukaryota, Metazoa, Arthropoda, Insecta, Lepidoptera, Lycaenidae. The transcript has 3 exons.